AACCCAUGGUGAGGGCAUUUGUUUGUAUAGCUUCUGAAUCUCUCCCAGGCCUCUCCAAAGAUUUCAUUAUGGUGCUUUGUGAAUGACGAGAUCUGGUUCCUGAGCUU
Small nucleolar RNA from Eutrema salsugineum, 107 nucleotides. It matches the Rfam family "Plant small nucleolar RNA R71". Rfam says of the family: R71 is a member of the C/D box family of snoRNAs containing the C (UGAUGA) and D (CUGA) box motifs. Multiple nearly identical copies of this snoRNA have been identified in Arabidopsis, and it is thought to function as a 2'-O-ribose methylation guide for 18S ribosomal RNA. The record is from Rfam. Lineage: Eukaryota; Viridiplantae; Streptophyta; Magnoliopsida; Brassicales; Brassicaceae.